CCUACGGGAGGCAGCAGUGAGGAAUAUUGGUCAAUGGACGGAAGUCUGAACCAGCCAUGCCGCGUGCGGGAAGACGGCUCUAUGAGUUGUAAGCUGCUUUUGUACAAGGGUAAACCUGAAUACGUGUAUUCAGCUGAAAGUACUGUACGAAUAAGGAUCGGCUAACUCCGUGACAGCAGCCUCGGUAAUACGGAGGAUGCAAGCGUUGUCCGGAUUUAUUGGGUUUAAAGGGUGCGUAGGCGGAUUGAUAAGUGAGAGGUGAAAUGUCCGAGCUUAACUCGGGAACUGCCUCUAAUACUGUUGAUCUAGAGAGUAGAUGCGGUAGGCGGAAUGUAUGGUGUAGCGGUGAAAUGCUUAGAGAUCAUACAGAACACCGAUUGCGAAGGCAGCUUACCAAUCUAUAUCUGACGUUGAGGCACGAAAGCGUGGGGAGCAAACAGGAUUAGAUACCCUUGUAGUC
Molecule: ribosomal RNA, 460 nt
Filed under: uncultured bacterium
Lineage: Bacteria
Description: partial 16S ribosomal RNA
Rfam family: Bacterial small subunit ribosomal RNA
Source: RNAcentral